RNAcentral lists this ribosomal RNA (741 nucleotides) under Acrostichus sp. 3 NK-2020. RNAcentral's name for it is "partial 28S ribosomal RNA". Lineage: Eukaryota; Metazoa; Nematoda; Chromadorea; Rhabditida; Diplogasteridae. The record is from RNAcentral.
AAAAGAACUUUGAAGAGAGAGUUCAAGAGGACGUGAAAUCACCUGGAUCGAAGCGGAUAGAGUUGACGAAACCUUGGGCAUUCAGAUCGUGCGUUGCUGUGCUUGAGUUGGCUGGCGUCUUCCAUGGCGCUGUCAGWCCGACAGACGGUGGCGUUUCGAAUUGCACUUGCCCUUGGUAUACGCUGAGGAGGCCGAUUGCCCCUUCCGAAGCGCGUAGCGUGGUCCGCCUUGUGCGGUGUCCUGUUGCGUGUGUAGGUUGAUGUGGCGGUUGGUCGCUCAUCGGAUCCUGCCUUUGCGCGGGGUGUCGUUGUUAGUGGUGUAUGCGGUGUCGGAGGCGUGCCUCCUGGUGUCGUAUGCGCGGCUACUGCGGCUUCCUGCUAGGAUUCGCUCUCGGUGUGGAAAAGUCGACCACCUAUCCGACCCGUCUUGAAACACGGACCAAGAAGUCUAGUAUGUGCGCGAGUCAUUGAGUGGAAAACUCAUAUGGCGCAAUGAAAGUAAAGGUUACUGUUGGGUGACUGAUAUGUGAUCCGUGGCUUAACGGCCGCGGCGCAACAUAGCCCCAUGCUAAUUGCUUGCAAUGGUGUGGAGGUAGAGCGUACAUACUGGGACCCGAAAGAUGGUGAACUAUGCUUGAGCAGGGCGAAGUCAGAGGAAACUCUGAUGGAGGCCCGCAGCGGUUCUGACGUGCAAAUCGAUCGUCGGACUUGAGUAUAGGGGCGAAAGACUAAUCGAACCAUC